Molecule: long non-coding RNA, 1377 nt
Organism: Pomacea canaliculata
Lineage: Eukaryota; Metazoa; Mollusca; Gastropoda; Architaenioglossa; Ampullariidae
Exons: 2
Source: RefSeq, a predicted model, not a curated record
CCGGGCAGAAACAGUCUGCAGACCUCAUUCACCGAAAUGGACACACAUCAGACUCGUGAAACCUUAUCAGAAUAAUGUUUAUAUACGAUUUGACCAAUAUUUAGAUACAGUACGAUAUCUACCAUGGAGUAAGAAUAUUUAACCUCGACAAACUUUGGUUCCCAGCCAACUUUGAACUACUCCACCCGUGUAUAUACACCUACUGCAUGUUGACUUCUUAUAAGAUUUAUAAAUCUUAAGACAAUUGUCUCCCAUUGGAACAAAUGCCAGGUCCUAUUCAAAGCUCAAAAUAACGCCAUUUAAUGGCUAUAUCCUUAUAGUCAUUGGCCGAUUAUUUGAACAGCGGAAAGCAGUCAUUGAAAAUUCAGAGAAUGGAGCAGUUACAGAGAAAGUCUUGCAGCAAAACUGGACGUUUUUGAUACAGAAUAUAUCAACAGAUGAAUCUCUUUUGGUGGACCACUUGUAUGAAAUGAACACUGUGACCAUUAAUGAGAUGGAAGUUGUCAGGACUCAAAGCCCAAUGCGCAACAAAGUGGUCAAACUUUUGGAAAUUCUUCAACGCAAGAGCCCAGAGGCUUUCCAUCAAUUCAUAGAAGCACUGGAAAGAUCUAAUCAAAGCCACAUUGCUCACAGAUUGAAUGAGUCUUUAGAAGAAGAACUGAGAAGAUAAGGAGGUCUGGCUAUUUAUCAGACUGGUUGCUUAGAAAUACAAUUCAGUAACCCUUUAUCAGUACUCCAUAAUUCAUAUUAUUAUUGAAACAAAUUUGAAGGAAAGCAUGAGAGUUUAGCAGAAUCCAUAAUUUGCAUUGUGAAAAAAUUCCCGAGGAGGCUGUUUCAGAUCUCAUACAGGAAACAUAUAAAAUCAAUGACAGUGUACAGAGCAUUGUUGUCACCUCUGCUUGCAACAAUGAAGUGUCGUAAGCUAGCUGGUAUCGUUUGGCCAUGUGACUUGGCAUGACACUGUUGACAACUGUCCUUCAGAGUACUUUAGAAAGAGGUCAACAUCAAGGUGGUCAGAGGAAGAACUUGAAGUAGUGGACUGGUGUUUUAGUGCAGGACCUGCUCGCUAUUGAUGAAGACUAGCCUGAGUAGUGAACCUUUUUAGCUCCAGUGUCUGUUCAUGUGCUCACCUGAUGACCUGGUGAACUAACAUAACUGGUACCAAUGAUAAUGCACACACACUGUGUGUGUGGUUGUUGCUUGCAUGUACAUGAGGGUUACUGUAAUGCAAAUAUCUGUGUGUCUGCUGUGUAUGAACUUUUGCUUGAUUGUUGUUACAGAAUGGCCAGAAAUUAUUUUUACAUCACAAUUUUUUCUUAACCAGUUGUGGCAUGCCAAACCACUCAAAACACAAUAAAGGUUAACUGUGAAAAUCAG